UGCAGUCGAACGGGGUGCUUGUCUUCGGAUAAGUUACCUAGUGGCAAACGGGUGAGUAACGCGUGGGAAACUACCUUUCAGUGGGGGACAACAGUUGGAAACGACUGCUAAUACCGCAUACGCUCUACGGAGGAAAGAUUUAUUGCUGAAAGAUGUGCCCGCGUCUGAUUAGCUAGUUGGUGGGGUAAAAGCCUACCAAGGCGAUGAUCAGUAGCUGGUCUGAGAGGAUGAUCAGCCACACUGGGACUGAGACACGGCCCAGACUCCUACGGGAGGCAGCAGUGAGGAAUAUUGGACAAUGGGGGCAACCCUGAUCCAGCAAUGCCGCGUGAAUGAAGAAGGCCUUAGGGUUGUAAAGUUCUUUCAACUGUGACGAUGAUGACGGUAGCAGUAGAAGAAGCCCCGGCUAACUCCGUGCCAGCAGCCGCGGUAAUACGGAGGGGGCGAGCGUUAUUCGGAAUUACUGGGCGUAAAGGGUGCGUAGGCGGCCCAUCAAGUUAGACGUGAAAGCCCCGGGCUCAACCUGGGAAUUGCGUUUAAUACUGGUGAGCUAGAGUAC
RNAcentral lists this ribosomal RNA (559 nucleotides) under uncultured Alphaproteobacteria bacterium. RNAcentral's name for it is "bacterial SSU rRNA". It matches the Rfam family "Bacterial small subunit ribosomal RNA", at positions 56 to 649 of the family's 1533-position model. Lineage: Bacteria; Pseudomonadati; Pseudomonadota; Alphaproteobacteria. The record is from RNAcentral.